AAUCUACCUUUUACAGGGGAAUAGCCCAGAGAAAUUUGGAUUAAUGCCCCAUGGUGUUAUAGAGUGGCAUCACUUUAUAACUAAAGUCACAACGGUAAAAGAUGAGCAUGCGUCCUAUUAGCUUGUUGGUAAGGUAACGGCUUACCAAGGCUACGAUAGGUAGGGGUCCUGAGAGGGAGAUCCCCCACACUGGUACUGAGACACGGACCAGACUCCUACGGGAGGCAGCAGUGAGGAACAUUGGACAAUGGGCGCAAGCCUGAUCCAGCCAUGCCGCGUGCAU
Molecule: ribosomal RNA, 283 nt
Filed under: uncultured bacterium
Lineage: Bacteria
Description: partial 16S ribosomal RNA
Rfam family: Bacterial small subunit ribosomal RNA
Source: RNAcentral